UCCUGCAGGAACAAGGUUGGAAUUGCUAAAUCAGCCUCUUUCCCAGGUUUUGGGAGACAGCCUUCUGCUCCAAGCUCUUGCCUACUUCAUCCUCACAGAAGAAAGUUGGCAAUCUCUCUCCUCAGGAAAGCAGCAGGAUGAAAGAAGCAGAUUUCAGCAGGUUCUCUGUUUCACCCCCUUACCAUCCAGCUAAACUUAGAUGGUGUCUUUCCUCUCCAUUUCUCCAUAACAAGCAUCCUGGACCUAAAACUUUCCUCUUCUUCAGCCAUACUGGGACAGGAAAUAUGAAGGGACUAAUUACCUGAGAGCACUGCCCAAACAACACCUGAGACACUCUGACCGACCCGGUGCCUCUCCUACUUCUCCUUCUCCAGGACAGUUAAAGGCACUGGAGCCUUUCUGAGCUGUGUACAGCACGGAUCAUACAAGAUGAUGCCCUAGAAAUUUAUUUAAAUAAAUCUUACACUU
This is a long non-coding RNA of Parus major (Great Tit), 468 nucleotides long. RefSeq lists it as uncharacterized. NCBI's taxonomy places the organism in Eukaryota, Metazoa, Chordata, Aves, Passeriformes, Paridae. The transcript is spliced from 3 exons. The record is from RefSeq and is a predicted model, not a curated record.